RNAcentral lists this ribosomal RNA (852 nucleotides) under uncultured bacterium. Its description in RNAcentral is "bacterial SSU rRNA". It matches the Rfam family "Bacterial small subunit ribosomal RNA", at positions 48 to 936 of the family's 1533-position model. The record is from RNAcentral.
CCGCUACCUGCAGUCGAACGGGAAGUGGAGCAAUCCAUGAGUACAGUGGCGUACGGGUGAGUAACACGUGGGUAUCUAACUCUUAGUGGGGAAUAACCCUGGGAAACCGGGGCUAAUACCGCAUAAGCUCGAGAGAGGAAAGCAGCAAUGCGCUGAGAGAGGAGCCCGCGGCCGAUUAGCUAGUUGGCAGGGUAAAAGCCUACCAAGGCAGAGAUCGGUAGCCGGCCUGAGAGGGCACACGGCCACACUGGCACUGAAACACGGGCCAGACUCCUACGGGAGGCAGCAGUGGGGAAUCUUGCACAAUGGAGGCAACUCUGAUGCAGCGACGCCGCGUGAGCGAUGAAGCCCUUCGGGGUGUAAAGCUCUUUCGUCAGGGAAGAUCAUGACGGUACCUGGAGAAGCAGCUGCGGCUAACUACGUGCCAGCAGCCGCGGUAAUACGUAGGCAGCGAGCGUUGUUCGGAGUUACUGGGCGUAAAGGGUGUGUAGGCGGUUCUUUAAGUUUGGCGUGAAAUCUCCCGGCUCAACCGGGAGGGUGCGUCGAAUACUGAGGGACUAGAGUACGGGAGAGGAAAGUGGAAUUCCUGGUGUAGCGGUGAAAUGCGUAGAUAUCAGGAGGAACACCGGUGGUGUAGACNGCUUUCUGGACCGUAACUGACGCUGAGACACGAAAGCGUGGGUAGCAAACAGGAUUAGAUACCCUGGUAGUCCACGCCCUAAACGAUGCAUAUUUGGUGUGGGUCAUUCAGUUGAUCCGUGCCGGAGCUAACGCGUUAAAUAUGCCGCCUGGGGAGUACAGUCGCAAGGCUGAAACUCAAAGGAAUUGACGGGGGCCCGCACAAGCGGUGGA